Molecule: non-coding RNA, 358 nt
Organism: Microcebus murinus (gray mouse lemur)
Lineage: Eukaryota; Metazoa; Chordata; Mammalia; Primates; Cheirogaleidae
Source: RefSeq, a predicted model, not a curated record
GAAACAAUGAAAACAAAAGGAGUUACAAGAGAUGGUCUUUAAAAACAGUUUCUGAAGUUCAAAAUUAUUCUUCUACCAUUCAUAAUCUACUCAGAGACUUAUUCUGCACAGGCAGCAUCCUCCUAAAACUAGCAGAAGACUGGAGUUUUCCUUCUGGAAAUAUCGAAAUAUACAGGCUUUGAACGCAGGGAUACCAGGCAUAACAAGGGGCAAGUAUACGGAGGCUAUACUUAAAUUAAGAGUAUUAAGAGAAAGUGAGCAGAGUGACUGUGAACAUCCUUCCCUCCCCAGAUGAUGGGUAGGUGGUUUCUACAUUUGGAAAAUAUUCAGAAAUAAGUAUAUCAUGGUCACUAAUGCU